GAUUUACUGGGCGUAAAGGGCGCGUAGGCGGCCAGCGCAAGUCAGUUGUGAAAUCUCCGAGCUUAACUCGGAGAGGUCAACUGAUACUGCGCGGCUAGAGUGCGGAAGGGGCAACUGGAAUUCUUGGUGUAGCGGUGAAAUGCGUAGAUAUCAAGAGGAACACCUGCGGCGAAGGCGGGUUGCUGGGCCGACACUGACGCUGAGGCGCGAAAGCUAGGGGAGCGAACGGGAUUAGAUACCCCGGUAGUCCUAGCCUUAAACGAUGAAUGCUUGGUGUCUGGGGUUAUAAAGUCCCCGGGUGCCGUCGCUAACGCUUUAAGCAUUCCGCCUGGGGAGUACGGUCGCAAGACUGAAACUCAAAGGAAUUGACGGGGACCCGCACAAGCGGUGGAGCAUGUGGUUUAAUUCGACGCAACGCGAAGAACCUUACCUGGGCUAGAAUGCCUCUGACAACCUUAGAGAUAGGGCCUUCUGGGUAAAACCAGACAGAGUGCAAGGUGCUGCAUGGCU
RNAcentral lists this ribosomal RNA (510 nucleotides) under uncultured Acidobacteriota bacterium. RNAcentral's name for it is "bacterial SSU rRNA". It matches the Rfam family "Bacterial small subunit ribosomal RNA", at positions 548 to 1050 of the family's 1533-position model. The record is from RNAcentral. Lineage: Bacteria; Pseudomonadati; Acidobacteriota.